GCUAUGAUAAGGCGCGGGCAGCGAAACAUCGUUCUCUGCACACACGGAAACUCGAUCGGCUAGCGCGACACGGAGGAGCCUCGAGCGUGUUGUCCGGUCCAUGAUUCAACGGGACGAGAUGCAGCAGGUUUCGCGUAGACGAGAGCAAAUUGGCCAGACGGCGUCCGAUAACGCGAUGACGCUUCCGCCAUCGGCUCGCCUUCUGUCUCACUGGACACGAGGGCGCUCUUUCAAUUACCGCGACCGGAUGGUAGGUCGCAUCGCCUGCCAAGGGGGACAGUUGGAUACGCGGGCAGAUAGAUCGACAGAUAUACGCGCGUCGUUGCAUCUGUGCUAAAAAUGCUCGCUUAAAUGCGAAGAGGAGACGAUAGGGGAACCGAUCUCGCGUCUCGAGAGGCAAAGCGUGCCUGGACGUGCUCGUGAAAUUCGAUCGGUUUCGGUCUAACCAGGCCCUCUCGGAUAUCGAAAGAGGCCUGGAUGAUUUACCUUUAGGAGGUCUUGUAGGUGCAAGGCUUUAGGGUCCGUGAUAAGGUCUGGGAAAAAAUUGGCAAUCUGGGAAAGGAACGCGGCUGGAACUGCGACCGAAUUUCUUCCGAUAACUGUCCCCUUCGAGGCGAGUUUCACUUCGAGUCAAGGUUGGGCAUAUUUACGCGAUUACGGUCGCUGGCUGCGAAGCAGGCAGGUGGCGAAGGCAACGCGAAACGAGAGAACGUGCGUGCGUGUCAUCGAGACGGCCGAAUUAUUUGGCGGUGGAUCGCGAAGCCUCUUUUCGCACCUGGCGUUGUCAAAAACGGCCAGCUCUCCGGCCGCUGUCGACUCGGAUCCACGACGGUUCCACUCGAUAGGGAUCGAUCGCCACGCUUCCGACAAGUUUCAUCUCGUAGUUCCUUCUUUCGCAGAUCUCGAGACAAGCGCGUUCGACGAAAUAGAAAAGGUUCGAAUACGCUGGAGGCGGCAGCCGGCGGUGUUCGUUGGAAUUCGACGAGCUGUUCAAGCCCGAGGAGAGAUCGGCGAAGGCUCCCACGCUUGCCACGCAGCUAUGCGAUAAUGGAACGAAGGAAUCUCGGUAUCGCUCGGUAACCGACGGUAGCGAUCGGUACUGGACUCUCUCAAUUUCGUGCGAUCGAUCGCGUCCCCUGUAGCGACAGAGUUCGUUAAGGAUCGCAGGACUCGAUGAUCGCGAAAAAUCGACGACUUGGACAUCCCAGGCUUUCACAGCCUGGCUCUUGGUGGAUACUAACGGAGACUUCCGGGUGGUAGUUUCGCAAGCAUCGAACUGGCUUCCCAAGGGUUCAAAUGACACACUGAUAUUGGCGUGCGUCGCGUAACUUGGGUAAUUUUAAGGUACCUCUGUUAAUGCACGGUUCAUUGGCUACCAAUCACCGAGCUCGUGGCACGGUUCACUGGUCACUGAUAGAAGUUUGACUGAAUUAACGAAAAACUGAGAAGGAACGCGUUCCAGAUAGGGUUCAAAGUUUCUUCAGUUUCCUGUAUACUCGAUGUCCGAGAGUUCAACCAGAACUUGGACUCGGUGACGAAGCCGUGGCUAUUAUCGAUGAAACCUGGAGGUUCGACAUUUCGUCCGCGACUCGUGUUUUUCUAUGAAAUUUACACCGACGAACCGUGGGAAACGUACGGGACUGGAGUUACCGCUCCUCGGAGCGGCUGGAGAAUAGCCGCGACGCGUUUAAGCGGACAAACAACCCGAUACCUCGUCUUCUAUUUAUCGCUUCGUACUCGACCCUCGAGAGUACCAUUUACCGACUACCGUGGUACACGUUGGCGGACCGCUGCCUCGCGUUGGCCUCCAGACUUUUCCGUUUACGUGGGCACGGACGAUACCAGCUGCGAGGAUACUCGCUCGGGCCCAUCCACCGUUAUUCCCCACCGACAAUCCUGCUACGCUUUUAGUCCUUUCGGAUUUUCCCGGAUCACUCGCCGAGGAACUUUGUUUAAACCUCUUGGGGGACGAAUUACUUUAUUUGAAAUUUUUAUAUUUGCCUGUAACAUCUAUCAGGUUAAAGAGCUACAGUUCUAUCUGCGUUGAAAAAUUGAGUAAUCUAAUGCGUAUCCAAGAUACAACCAAGUAGAAGCUUUGGAUCGAAACGGUGGCCGAGGUAGACGCUGGAAGAGGAACGUCGCGACGGCGACGCGACGGAAGGAACGAGCCUCGGCGGGACUCAACAGGUUUGUUGGCUGCCACAAAGCGGACGUCCUAGCGAUGGUAGUUUCGUCGCCACGUAGCGGUCCGAUGGGUUAUUUUGGAUGGAUAUUUGACACAGGGGUCGGUAAACUAUGGGCCGCAGGCUAGGUCUGGUCCGCAACGUAUUAUCGUACGGCCCGUGGUGCUAAGAACAAUUGUUAAGCGAACGUAACGAUGCACGAGGUACAGCGACGACUUAUUGUUAGCAGGCUCUGACGAGGCCCUAGAAAAGUGUCCUAUCUUGGAAUAACUCCGAACGGAACCGUCACGGCGAGUGGGUCUCGUUGAAUUAUUUUUAACGCUCUGAAAUCGUUCGACGCCCAUCGAAGCACUACGACGACCGACUUUACUUUCGGAGGAACGGCGUUGUCGGCUGAGGCUCGUCUCGAAAAGCUAUGCAACCGCGGCUACGACGGGAUAUUCGUCUCGGUUGGCCGAGACGUAGACGACUCGGACAGGUGUACGAGAAAAUACGAAUAGGUUUAGGGUAUCGGUUACAAAGCUCGACGAGAGCCGACCCUUUACAACCCUGGUCGCAUCAAGACCGUAUUGUUCGUCGAGGAAAAUUUACGAAUGCCAAGCGUGCGGGUGGUGCGAGAGUGUGCGAGCGUAACGAGUCCCUUGGCGCAGGUCUGAUUUAUGCGAGGUCGCAAGGAAAGAACCCAGGGCCUCUCACCUGCCCAGAUCUUUCUGCCUGGUAUUCUACCUUAGCCUUCGUCACCCAUCCUGCGUCGAUGCUUCAGUCAAAUUUCAUCGAUCCGUCACGAUAUCGAAGAGAAUCGUGCAACCUAGCGUCACCUCGCUCCGUUUCGCAUUAAUUCCACUGUUGCGCCAACCAGUACCGUUUCAGGUUUUAUUAUCAUACUAAAUUUAUCAUAAUCCCGAAAAAAUGAAUUUUAUCACAGCUUUGUUUACGGGUUCGACCACCGCGAGAAAGAGUAAGCCCGCGAGUAAACUACCGCUACAGUUACGGAAUCUUUGUGCUGCUCGAUGGUAAACGAGUAGACGAGCCGAUGCUUCCGAGGUACCCAGUGCGCCAGAAACGAAACACCCAGGUGCCAGAGGUCCUCGAGGUUAUAGUAGCGGUGUCCGAACGACGGUUCGAUGACCCAGGUGGUAAAGGAAUUGUAUACGGUGUCACCGAUACCCCAAAUACAGCCAGCAGAGUCAUUGUUCGCAGUGUAACCGAUACCCUCUGGCUCCAAGAACAGGCUGAUCUUCUACCUGUACCUCUGUCGGCAUAAUUGCCCCGCUCUUUGCGCACCUUGCCCUUUGUGUUGCGAUUCGUCGAGCCGUUGUCGCGAUUUACCCGUCGCACGGUGCGGCCACGACGGGACGGAUUUGCUCGUGUAAUGGGACAAAAGAAAGUAAACGAACUGCGAGGGCAGUAACAGUUCCUAUUAACCCUCGAAUACUAAGUGCUCGAUCGAGGACAGAAAAACAAUGAGAAAUGUUCGUAUAAACGUGUCUCCCAUCCGACCUCGUUCCCGAGGUGCAAUAAUUUUCGUACUCCAGGAAUAAGCAGUCGUUUACCUUCGCAGGUAUACGAAGUAACCGCAAAUACAGGCUCGCAGGAGUCUUAUGGAAAUUACCAGUAUUUCGAACAUUCCAGGUACUAGGACUGUUUCAUCGCUGAAUCGAAGAAUAGUCGUGUUAUUGGCAUCGCUUCAACUACGUUUCCACAAAGCUCCAAAUAUCGUCGGCUGCGCCGGUUGCGGGACUUCCCCAAGAGAGGGUUGCCUGUCGUUUACGCGGACAUUUUGAAUUUCCCAAUUCGUAACGCUGCGAAGAGAAAAGCCAAUCGAAUUCGCGAAGCAGUCCCGCGUAAAAUGUUGCCCUUAUUGUUGCGACUAUGAAACACGAUACGACCGGCUGGUGCGGAGUGGAUAUGGUACUGCGUUCUCGAAUGUUUGCCAGCGUAUGAGACAAAGCGAGAAGAAGCGAGCAACCGUGGACGAGGGAGAGAAAGAGAAGGGUGCGAGCAUAGGGAGGGUGAAGUUUGGUCUAAAGAUUACGAGGCGCGACAUCUGGCGCCACAUGCACAUUUAAAAGCUCCCGCGUACGUGUAGCUGGACGAUGGCUGAGAAUCGCUCGCGACAAUUUGUCCAUUCCGCCUUCGCGUUUUCUAGUUCUCGAAGAAUAGAAGUAGAUCUGUCUUGAGACCAAAAUGAUUUGUAAUAAUAAUUUUAUAUAAACGCGAGCUUUAGAAAUUGAUUCUUCAAACCAAGGAUCGCUGGGUUACAAGGUUCGUAGACAAUCAACGAUACAGUUAAUAGAUCGUGGAAUUGAAAAACUUGUAACUAGACUACUUAAAAAUAUUAAUAGUAAUUCUUCAGAUGCAGCAAGUGUCCUUGGGGUUCAGGAUGUGUCUCGAAUUCGAUAGAAGAUCGAAGCCUUCGCUUAUACAUCGAAUCCCGCACGAGCAUGUUCGAACACGAGGGCAUGAGCGUGCAACCGCGCGUAACCCGCGAUACUUGGUCCAUUUCUAUUCCACCCGCGAAACACCUGGCGAUAGACCUGGUUACCCGAGCGAAACAAAGAAUUAGCGACGCUGGGAAAGGUAAAUGCGCGCGCAUACGCUCAGAUUCUAGACGUAGACUUAGACUCGUUCGCCGAUCUGAAACGCGAUCGUUUAUAAUGACUGUGAGACACGGAAGCGAAAUUCAAAGCUAUUACUGAUAUACAUUUUCGACAUAGAUAGCUCCAUAAUUCCUAUGAUCAUUUCAACUGUUGGCUCUCAAUAAUAAUAUUUGAAGGCUGUCGAAGCACGAGUUGGAAAGAAUAGAUUCGAGAUGGAAAUUUUGGUCGAAUGAGUCGGAGGGCAAUCGCGACCGUGUCUCGCGAAACAAGGACGCGUCGCACGCCACGCGCCAUGCGACAUACGACGUCGCGGCGCCGACGCCCAGCUGGCAUUUUCACCGGGAUUCUGCUCACGUCAGGGCUGUUGUUUAAACCGUUUUGCUUCGAACAAUUUUGUUUCCUCGCGUACUUGUUUCACGGCUUACUGUCGCCGCUCGUAUGUUAUUCGAAAUUCGAGAUUGAAGCGCUUGCUGCUCGAGAAUCGGGAAAAUCGGUAAAAGCUGAGGCGAAACGCGCAAUGUCGGUGCACGGUGGAAAAUCAAGAUGCGUUCCACGUUUCCCUCUACGCUCGAUUUGGCUGGUUUCGUCUCCUUUUCCCGGCUUCCACGGAACGUUCUAAUUUCGUGCCGGACACGUGCCCGGAUGGAAACAGAUGUAUACCUCUCGCGCGUCAUAUAAAUACAUCGGUGCUCUACUCGCUCUUGGUGCUUGACUAACCGGCUCACAGCCGAAUAUCCCCGACAGGGAAUCGUUGCACGAGUCGACAAGCCGUGCCUUCGAAUCGAUAUAAAGUUACUGGCUGGCGCCAGCUUGACUGCGAGAUUCCAGAGCAACUUCAAUCCCGACGCUGCGCUUUUACACCGAUGUUAGCGACACUUAUUCGGCCAAUACGUAACGAUUGAAACGCAUGGAAAUUUACGAUUAACCGUUUGUUCUUUGCGAAACAUUUCAUUUUAUAGCUCGAUAACUGUAACUAAUACGAUUUUUGCUGAAGCUGCUGUCAAGAGGGAUUUCAAACUGUCCUUUAAGAGCAGUUGUGGAUUCAACACCCGUUGAACACGAAUGCCGAUCAAUGAAAAAAGUAUGGCUUUAAC
Hylaeus volcanicus is the source of this 5877-nucleotide long non-coding RNA. RefSeq lists it as uncharacterized. NCBI's taxonomy places the organism in Eukaryota, Metazoa, Arthropoda, Insecta, Hymenoptera, Colletidae. The record is from RefSeq and is a predicted model, not a curated record. The transcript is spliced from 9 exons.